GCUAUCAUUACUUAGUCACAAGUAAUUUAGUGUCAAACUUAUGCUCUGGGAUUCUUCUAUUUUGUGCCAUUCCUGAAGUAAUAUCUUAGACAAAUUUGAAAAUAAAUAAUUCUGGCUCAUUUGAGUGCAUAACUGAAUUGGAUUUUUGGAACUUUCUGCUCUUUUUGGUUGCAUGUUGCAAAGUUGGAAUUUAUAGGCAUUGUCUAAGAUUUGUU
This 215-nucleotide unclassified non-coding RNA is filed under the name Hevea brasiliensis (rubber tree). Lineage: Eukaryota; Viridiplantae; Streptophyta; Magnoliopsida; Malpighiales; Euphorbiaceae. The record is from RNAcentral.